GUCUAUGACCAUACCACCCUGAACAUGCCCCAUCUCAUCUGAUCUCAAAAGCUAAGCACGGUCAGGCCUGGUUAGCACUUGGAGGUGAAAAAUU
RNAcentral lists this ribosomal RNA (94 nucleotides) under Cebus imitator (Panamanian white-faced capuchin). Lineage: Eukaryota; Metazoa; Chordata; Mammalia; Primates; Cebidae. The record is from RNAcentral.